CCCAUCUUUCAUUUAAAUUGAAUGUGACUCUGUGGCCUUCGGACUCCAGAUACACCCAUCGAAUUGUGCAAAUCAAUGGCAAGAUGAUAUGUUUGGACGUAAACGACAGGCUGUCAUUAGGAAACGAAUAACGGAUUUAAUUCGACUCCCGUCGGCCAAUGACCAUGACUGAUGCAUCACAACAAUUCUGCCUUGGAUUUUAUUUAUAUUUAUUUCUAGUAAGGGACACUUUUUGGACACCUCCGCAGUUGAUAUCUUUCUCUUUCUGAGUUUCUUCACAAGGCCAGCCAGCAGACUGCUUUUGCACUAUCACCAUGGAUACAGCAUACAAACCACGUGACUUUCCAUCAUCCUUUCUUACGACGCCAUUAAGACAACAGUCACGUGACUUGAAAAAGGGGGAUCCUUGUCUGCCUUCAUUCAAUUAUGUACUUAAUAGAUCUGACAGGUGGGGAAGAGAAAUAAAUCAGGGUGCUAGCCCCUUCCCCAUGGUACCCCAAUGACAAAAAGGAAAGCUUGUUAAAAGUAGACUUACUUAAUUUUGCCACUGUGAUUUCUGGUCAUACUGAAGGCCUAUUUUGUAGAAAUUGGUGCAUGAGAAACAUGCCCUCCCCUCUUCACGGAUUUCUUUUUUCAUUUAA
Lytechinus variegatus (green sea urchin) is the source of this 641-nucleotide long non-coding RNA. RefSeq lists it as uncharacterized. The transcript has 5 exons. Lineage: Eukaryota; Metazoa; Echinodermata; Echinoidea; Temnopleuroida; Toxopneustidae. The record is from RefSeq and is a predicted model, not a curated record.